UCUAUAUAUUAUAGAAGUUAUAAUGCUAGAACUAGUAACAAGAACCUGCCUUUCUCCUAAAUGUAUGUAUAAGCCAGAAUGGACCUCCCACUGACAUUUAACGUAUAUGAAAAUACUAUAAUAACGUCCCCAAGAAAACCUUAUUAAUUAUUAACGUUAACCUUACACUAGAACAUUCCAGGAAAGAUUAAAAAAGAGAGAAGGAACUCGGCAAAUCUUAGCCCCGCCUGUUUACCAAAAACAUCGCCUCUUGCCAAAAUUAUAAGAGGUCCAGCCUGCCCGGUGACAAAGUUUAACGGCCGCGGUACCCUAACCGUGCAAAGGUAGCAUAAUCACUUGUUCCUUAAAUAGGGACUAGUAUCAACGGCACCACGAGGGCCAUACUGUCUCCUCUCCUCAAUCAGUGAAACUGAUCUCCCCGUGAAGAAGCGGGGAUUAAACUAUAAGACGAGAAGACCCCAUGGAGCUUUAAGCAACAUCUUCAUCUCUUGUUUUUUUUCAUCAACCUAAUAUAAAAUGAAUUGAAUUCUAGCUUUAGAUUGGGGAGAUCGCGGAGUACAAAUCAACCUCCACGACAAACGGACAGUGUCCUUAUCCAUGAACCACAUUUCUAAGAAUUAGCACACUAAUGUUUUUGACCCAUAUAUAUAUAUAUGAUCAACGAACCAAGUUACCCUGGGGAUAACAGCGCAAUCUACUUUAAGAGUCCAUAUCGACAAGUAGGUUUACGACCUCGAUGUUGG
This 743-nucleotide ribosomal RNA is filed under the name Amnirana galamensis (Galam white-lipped frog). Its description in RNAcentral is "partial 16S ribosomal RNA". It matches the Rfam family "Bacterial large subunit ribosomal RNA", at positions 1272 to 2535 of the family's 2925-position model. The record is from RNAcentral. Lineage: Eukaryota; Metazoa; Chordata; Amphibia; Anura; Ranidae.